This 65-nucleotide transfer RNA is filed under the name Paralithodes brevipes. RNAcentral describes it as "tRNA-Asp". Lineage: Eukaryota; Metazoa; Arthropoda; Malacostraca; Decapoda; Lithodidae. The record is from RNAcentral.
UGAGAAUUAGUUAAAAUAUAACAUAAGUUUGUCGUACUUAAAUUAUCUAUUUAAGAUAUUUUCAA